UUUUCGAAGAGUUUGAUCCUGGCUCAGAGUGAACGUUGGCGGUGCGCCUAAAACAUGCAAGUCGAGCGCCCUGGACCCUGUCCUUCAUUUGGAGGCUAGAGUCCAGGGAGCGGCAAACGGCUGCGUAACACGUGGGUACCUACCUCGAACUCAGGGAUAACCCGCCGAAAGGCGGGCUAAUACCGGAUGGUCCCGAAAGGGUAAAGCUUUCGCGGUUCGAGAGGGGCCUGCGGCCUAUCAGGUAGUUGGUAAGGUAACGGCUUACCAAGCCUAUGACGGGUAGCUGGUCUGAGAGGACGACCAGCCAGAAUGGAACUGAGACACGGUCCAUACUCCUACGGGAGGCAGCAGUUAGGAAUCUUCCGCAAUGGGCGAAAGCCUGACGGAGCGACACCGCGUGAAGGAUGAAACCCUUUACUGGGCGUAAACUUCUGUUGUGAGGGACGAAAUUUUUGACGGUACCUCACGAGAAAGCACCGGCUAAUUCUGUGCCAGCAGCCGCGGUAAGACAGAAGGUGCAAACGUUACUCGGAAUUACUGGGCGUAAAGCGUCUGCAGGUUUCCUGCCACGUCUGGCGUCAAAACGCAGUGCUCAACACUGCGUCCGUGCCGGAAACGAGCGGGAUAGAGCCACUCAGAGGCAUCUGGAAUGUCGUGUGUAGGGGUAAAAUCCGUAGAUCCACGAUGGAACGCCAAAAGCGAAAGCAGGAUGCUGGGGGUGCGCUGACACUCAGAGACGAAAGCGUGGGGAGCAAAGGGGAUUAGAUACCCCCGUAGUCCACGCCCUAAACGAUGCGAGCUCGGUGUAGGGACCUCAAUCGGUUCCUGUGCCCUAAGCUUACGCGGUAAGCUCGCCGCCUGGGAAGUACGGCCGCAAGGCUAAAACUCAAAGGAAUAGACGGGGACCCACACAAGCGGUGGAGCAUGGGGUUUAAUUCGAUGACAAGCGAAGCACCUCACCCAGACUUGACAUGGUAGGAAUCGUUUAGAAAUAGACGAGUGCCGCAAGGAGCCUAUACACAGGCGCUGCACGGUCGUCGUCAGCUCGUGCCUUGAGGUGUACUGUUCAGUCAGCAAACGAGCGCAACCCUCAUCUCAUGUUGUAUUCUCAUGAGAGACUGCCGCCUCCAAGGCGGAGGAAGGUGAGGAUGACGUCAGAUCAGCGUGGCCUUUAUGUCUGGGGCAACACCCGUGCUACAAUGGCCGGCACAAACCGUUGCGAACCCGCGAGGGGGAGCCAAUCGGAAAAAACCGGCCUCAGUUCGGAUUGGAGUCUGCAACUCGACUCCAUGAAGUUGGAAUCGCUAGUAACCGUGAAUCAGCUACGUCACGGUGAAUAUGUUCCUGGGUCUUGUACUCACCGCCCGUCAACUCAUGGAAGGUAGGGGCACCUGAAGGACCUUUACUCGCAAGAGGGGGUACCACGGUGACACUACUGACUGGGAGUAAGUCGUAACAAGGUAUCCGUAGGAGAACCUGCGGAUGGAACACCUCCUUA
Molecule: ribosomal RNA, 1498 nt
Filed under: Candidatus Peribacteraceae bacterium
Lineage: Bacteria; Candidatus Peregrinibacteriota; Candidatus Peribacteria; Candidatus Peribacterales
Description: bacterial SSU rRNA
Rfam family: Bacterial small subunit ribosomal RNA
Source: RNAcentral